This is a long non-coding RNA of Brassica napus (rape), 2519 nucleotides long. RefSeq lists it as uncharacterized. The transcript has 2 exons. NCBI's taxonomy places the organism in Eukaryota, Viridiplantae, Streptophyta, Magnoliopsida, Brassicales, Brassicaceae. The record is from RefSeq and is a predicted model, not a curated record.
AAGUAUGUGAAAGAUUAAAGUCAAAGUAAAUAUGGAUUUAGAAUAGUAGUUAUAUUUUACUAACCAAAAUACCGAAAAAACCCGAACCGAACCGAAACCAAUCUGAUAUCUGGAUUGAACACCCCUAAUCCAAAUGAAGCCAAACUAUUGUUUCAUUCUCCAAAAUAUAAUAAAAAUAAUAACUUAAUUCCGCGCAAUAUCUUAUCCUUGUUCGUUAGUAUUUGAUUUUUAGAUUUGAAAUUAAAAAAAAAAAUGAAAUUGUACAAACUGGAGAAUCUUGUAAAAAAGGGAAAUACAAGCUCGCUGCAGUAACAUAUUUUAGAAGUACAUGUACAUCGGGCAGAAGCGGGCCCGAAGUUCAUCUUAUCAUAUAAUAGCGUGGAGACGUUAUAUCAAUUCACUUUUUUUAGUUUUGACAACGGGCCCGGAUACAGCAAGUUGCACAUCCAAGGGGCCACAAUGGAUUCAUUGCACAUCAGGUCUUUAUUUUACCUUUUUUUUAUAACAUCUUAUCUUUAUUAUUAUCAAAAGAAGAUUAAGAGAGUACAUGAAUCCAAACAUACAACAAAUACAUUUUUAAAUAAAACAUGAUAAUAGAAAAGUAAUAACACGAUGCUUCCUAACUCUUGUGCAGGAUAGACUGAUUCGCUAACUUUAUCUAUUUUUGUUCUCGGUCUUAUAUGAUCUUGUGUUCGGCUAUCAUUUAUUGUGAUCCAACGCCUUUUGUCAUUUAACAGAUCAAUGGGUGCGAUCCAUCUGUUACAUCGCUGCCCAUUCCAUACACUCCCGCUCCAGGAGAUAACAUGAUUUGUUGUAGUCUCUAUCCAUAUCAUAAAUAAUCCCUCAAACUGACAAAGAUAAGCACUUAACUCCAUCGUCUCCCACUCCAUGUCUUCACAUAAACAUGACGUAUUUCCUCUUGUUGUCAAAUAGAGAUUAAACACAUCUCUCUGAAUUAAUGGAGUCACCAUCGUCCAUGUCAGAAUGUCAAAAUAACAUGACGUACACAAUCUUCUCCAUGGCCAUGGUGGUUUAAGAUUCCUUUUUUUGUUCCAUAGGACUAGUAAUCCUUCCAAAGAAUUUUCUGGAUGGAAAAGACCACCAUGUCUAACAAGCCAUGGAAAUACACGGACAAUACAAAACCACCAUGGUUUGAUUGUUGGGAGAUUGCACUCAACAAUAAUGGAGAUAAUAGACUCACCUAUGAGGGAGAAAAAAGACUCGUCAAAGCUCUGAUCCAAACUUCCUAACUGCUCAACGAACCAGUGGAGAAACAGAAAACUGUUUGCCCAUGACGAAGACAUGCGACGGCACCAGGAAGAGGAGAGAUGGUGUGACGAUAGAUCACGUCGCUUGAUUAAACUAAGCAACGACAAUGAAUUUAUUUGAACUAAAAGCUUAAGAAACAUAUAAACAAUAAUAUAACAAGAGUACGAACCGACGCCGGAGCCGACGCCGGCCGGGGAUUGUUGUAGAGAAACUGUUGUUUGUUUUCGCCUUUUGUGUCGCUUGCGAGAGAGAAACAGUUAUUUGAUUGCGUAAUAUAUUUUAUUUUACCUUUCUUUCUUCUUUUUGCUAAAGUCUUUACUUUUACCCCUUGCUUUUACUAAAAACGCUUUUUUAUAGUUUCGUCAUUUAACACGAAACUGAGGAUGGGAUAUUACUUUUCAAAGAUAUUUUGAGUUAGAAUUAUGAGUUAUUCAAGUUUGGAAUUAAGAUAUUAUUUUUCAAAGAUAUUUAACAUGAAACUGAGGAUGGGAUAUUAUUUUUCAGAGAUAUUAUUUUUCAAAGAUAUUAUUUUAACAUGAAACUGAGGAUGAGAUAUUAUUUUCAGAGAUAUUUUGAGUUAGAAUUAUGAAUUAUUCAAGUUUGUAAUCAAGUUGAAAGUGACAUUGAUAUUUCAAUACAUUAUCACAAUUUUAAUAAGGUAGCUGUAGUUUGGAUAUCUCUAUAAUCACCUUGACUGGUAAACCAGAAAUAAAUCCAUAGGAGAUUGGAGUAUAAAGAAUUCGAGUUUUCUAGUCAUAGAGUUGAAGACGCAUGUCUUUCACUUUCACUUGAUGGAAAUAUUUUGGAUACAUAAGUUUGUGAACAUCGGUUGUAUAUACAUAUAAUUUUUUUGUUAAAUCAUCGCUAGCUUUUUAUUGAUUUAUUUGAUUCAGAAGCAAAACAUAUAGACAAUUAGACAUUAAUCGUUAUUCAAAAAUCAAAACCAAAAGCAAAGCUUCUAUACAGUUUGCUUUAAUCUAACCAAAAUUUUCAUUUUUUCAUUUUCUUAACUUUUGUCUUCAUGUAAAAUAGAACGAUGAUCACUCUUUUUUUUACUGUAAAUUAUUACGCUAUCCUAAAAUACGAAUAUCCCGGCGGAGAAACUCUGUUCGCCGGCAUAUGGAGAGCUCAAAACGUCGACGUUUCUCAAAACUUGCUGUUUAGAUUGCUCCUUUCGCUCGUCGUUCAUUAUCUGCACUGAUCUACACUCUGCACUGCAGAAUCCCAUCUCUCCUCUGCACACAACCCAA